Molecule: non-coding RNA, 385 nt
Organism: Danio rerio (zebrafish)
Lineage: Eukaryota; Metazoa; Chordata; Actinopteri; Cypriniformes; Danionidae
Source: Ensembl
CAGAGUACAGAUUAUGGAGGUAUCUGAAGUUGAACUAACUGGAAGCAGGGAACCAUACUAAUAAAGUUCCUUAAGCAGGUUCCUUGUAAAGAUGAACCCAGGGAAGGAUCGAAAGUGGAGAAGACCAGAUCAAGAAAGACCACAUCAAGAUCUGCGGUCAGUUCAAAGGAUGUUUUGCAUUGGACUGUUUUUUUUUUUGGCUUUGACCCUUGCUCGACCCUGACCUCACUCUUGGACUGCCCUAUUGGAUUUUCAGUUUAUUUAAUUUAAUUAAUUAAUUUUUUUUUGGUUCUGGGUAAAUGCUAAUAAAUAUUUAGUUGUAAUUAUUUAAGUAAUAUGUUUUUGUUAAAUAUGCGAUUUCUGUGUUUGUUCUGUCUACUCAUAC